AAUAGAUACCCGGUAGUCCAUGCCGUAAACGAUGUCUACUAGCCGUUGGGGCCCUUGAGGCUUUAGUGGGCGCAGCUAACGCGAUAAGUAGACCGCCUGGGGAGUACGGUCGCAAGACUAAAACUCAAAUGAAUUGACGGGGGCCCGCACAAGCGGUGGAGCAUGUGGUUUAAUUCGAUGCAACGCGAAGAACCUUACCUGGCCUUGACAUACAGAGAACUUUCCAGAGAUGGAUUGGUGCCUUCGGGAACUCUGAUACAGGUGCUGCAUGGCUGUCGUCAGCUCGUGUCGUGAGAUGUUGGGUUAAGUCCCGCAACGAGCGCAACCCUUUUCCUUAUUUGCCAGCACUUCGGGUGGGAACUUUAAGGAUACUGCCAGUGACAAACUGGAGGAAGGCGGGGACGACGUCAAGUCAUCAUGGCCCUUACGGCCAGGGCUACACACGUGCUACAAUGGUCGGUACAAAGGGUUGCUACUGCGCGAGCAGAUGCUAAUCUCAAAAAGCCGAUCGUAGUCCGGAUCGCAGU
RNAcentral lists this ribosomal RNA (527 nucleotides) under uncultured bacterium. Its description in RNAcentral is "bacterial SSU rRNA". It matches the Rfam family "Bacterial small subunit ribosomal RNA", at positions 777 to 1304 of the family's 1533-position model. The record is from RNAcentral.